CAGGGAUCGAUGGACGACUA
This 20-nucleotide non-coding RNA is filed under the name Arabidopsis thaliana (thale cress). The record is from RNAcentral. Lineage: Eukaryota; Viridiplantae; Streptophyta; Magnoliopsida; Brassicales; Brassicaceae.